Molecule: ribosomal RNA, 457 nt
Filed under: uncultured bacterium
Lineage: Bacteria
Description: bacterial SSU rRNA
Rfam family: Bacterial small subunit ribosomal RNA
Source: RNAcentral
AUUGAACGCUGGCGGCAUGCCUUACACAUGCAAGUCGAACGGCAGCGCGGGGCAACCUGGCGGCGAGUGGCGAACGGGUGAGUAAUAUAUCGGAACAUACCCUAGAGUGGGGGAUAACGUAGCGAAAGUUACGCUAAUACCGCAUACGCACUAAGGUGGAAAGUGGGGGAUUCGCAAGAACCUCAUGCUCAUGGAGUGGCCGAUAUCUGAUUAGCUAGUUGGUGAGGUAAAGGCUCACCAAGGCGACGAUCAGUAGCUGGUUUGAGAGAACGACCAGCCACACUGGAACUGAGACACGGUCCAGACUCCUACGGGAGGCAGCAGUGGGGAAUUUUGGGACAAUGGGGGCAACCCUGAUCCAGCAAUGCCGCGUGAGUGAAGAAGGCCUUCGGUGUAAAGCUCUUUGUUCAGGGAAGAAACGGUGAGUUCUAAUACAGAUUGCUAAUGACGGUACCUG